GGCUGUGUAGCUCAGUGGUAAAACAUAGGCUUAGUAUGUACAAGGUACUGGGUUCAAUCCCCAGCACUGCCC
Molecule: transfer RNA, 72 nt
Filed under: Cavia porcellus (domestic guinea pig)
Lineage: Eukaryota; Metazoa; Chordata; Mammalia; Rodentia; Caviidae
Rfam family: tRNA
About the family: Transfer RNA (tRNA) molecules are approximately 80 nucleotides in length. Their secondary structure includes four short double-helical elements and three loops (D, anti-codon, and T loops).
Source: Rfam by way of RNAcentral